This is a long non-coding RNA of Scophthalmus maximus (turbot), 3018 nucleotides long. RefSeq lists it as uncharacterized. The record is from RefSeq and is a predicted model, not a curated record. The transcript has 2 exons. Lineage: Eukaryota; Metazoa; Chordata; Actinopteri; Pleuronectiformes; Scophthalmidae.
UUCAGCUCAGUAUUUCCCCAACCUAAGUAACCCCUUUAAAGGUCCUGGUGCUCAGUGUCAUACCAAGUUUGAAACAUCUCACAGGUGAACGUAUUCAAAAACAACUGCAAUCAGUUUGCCCACAGCGAGAUGUGACAGGACAAGCCCGGCCAGCACCAUUAGGCAUUUGUAGAAGCUCAGGAUCGAGGAUGGGCAGAGCCCGGGGCACGCAGAGAUAAGGAGGAGUCGCGGGUCUGGUCUUGUCUCAGCCUGAUGCUCGCCGCAGACAUCUGGAAGGCGGAAUGUUUACUUGGGACAGCGCCUCGCUUGAGGACGGGCCGGGGGGGUGGGGAGGCCCCUUCAGAUUCUGGGCUUCAUCCUCAGCAGCUGGUUACGGCACUUCUUUUUGAACAAAAAUGGGAAUUUUCAGUUCUUGUUCCAUCCCCAAUGAGCAAAUGUAUUAUUAUUAAUAUUUUUUUUUACAUAAGUGCUUAUGUCGCCAAACACGUUUUUCAACCUCCCUUGCAAGAGUGUUUGUUUGCACUUGGUGAACCUAUCCCGCUAUUCCAGUAUUUCAUAGCAUAAAAACCUGUCAUUGUUGUGCUGGACCAGUGUUGGGGUCGGUUGUUAGUGCUGCCGUGGUCUGAAUACCAUGCAUGCACAAGCAGGUUGGUUUGGACAAUCAAUUAAAGAUGCCUUUUUAGUUUUAUUUUCUUCUUUAGAUUCUUUCAUUGACUACACAUCAAUGAUGCUGUUGUUGGGGUUGUGAUAUUCGAUGCAUAGACGAAGAUAGUGAACAUUUCUCGGGGGCUCAGUGUAAAUGGUGAUGUCACUGGUGCCUCAUACAGACCUGGUACUACUUCAGCUCCACUGUAGGUUAGUUUGUGUGCUGAACCUUCAAAUAUUAACCCAAGCAAUCAGCCCAUUCUUUUCAUUCUUUUGUCUCACUGGUUACUUUCUCUAGCUAUUGGUCAGUCUGAGAUUAGUUUUAUCCUUGUUGAUACAGGGAAGAAAAGAUAAUGGCAAUUUUUCCAGAUAGUUUGAAGCGCUUAACAGAACUGCAGUUUAGAAGUAAUUGGCUUUGUUUAGUUUUUUCCUAAAUGAGCGACUCGUUGAUAGAGGGGAAACAAGCAGCUGCCUCUUAUUGGUGGGUAUGUGACAUUGACCUAUGUGGUUAGAGCCCCAAGGACAUCUGUCGCUUUGGUGAAAGAUUUAUUAAAGACCACAAGGCUUGAGAGAUUAGCAGGGCUGUGAAACACUUUGCUUUCAUGCAUUUUGCCAGCCAUCCUCCAUAUCAUUAUGUUUGUAAAUUAAUAAUAUCAAAGUUCAUUAGUUUCUUUCACACAUGCAGUAUGUAUAUAUAUGCUUUUCCGAUUUUACAGUCCAUGUUUGCGCCAUCUGUUAAAAGAAAACUCUGAUACAUAUCUGUCAAAAUGCCUUCAUGGGGCCUACAGACUCCUUUUGCACAAAUACUGAUAACGCCCCAUAUUUAUGAAAUUCUGUUAACCAGGCAAUAUCCAGUUGUUGAAUUAGAAAUGAGCUUGUGAUCAGUCCCGUCCCACCCUUUCUUUCCAACAAUAUGCAGCUGCUCAGGUUGUGCAUUAUAUUACAAAAUGAGCUGUGAUCGCAAACUCCGCUCUCUACUUUGAAUGUAAUUAAUUUAAUGAUUGUUGCUGCCAUGCAACAUUAUUUCUUGUUGCUAGUUCUAAGCCUAACCCUACUUCCAGUGUCAGUCAAAACAUGGCAGUCAAAGACGGCAUGGCUAAUACAUUUUUGAUGAGAAAAUAAUUAUUUGAAGAAUAAACCACAAUAUGGUGUGUACACCUCCACACACCGGCAGUCCAGUGUGGCUCCUGGGAUUGGACUGAUGGAUGUUUUACCUGCAGUCAAGCUGCGCUGACUGUACAGGUUCGGCUCUCGUCUGGGACUCUGACGGCAUGUCACAGCCUGUAGGGAGAUACAUUUGACGUGAGACUGCAUGCACCAGGUUGUUAUUGUUGUGAAAACGGACCACUGGAACCUCUCAAACAAUGUGUAAUAGUGUUUCUACUGUUCUAGACUACAGGAAAUAAUUGCUGAUGGGUGUUAAGUCACUGAUAUUUGGUGCUUGCUUUCAAAGGCAGCCUCAUUGUGAGUUGUUUGUCACGAUGAAUCGUACCCAAGGCGGAUUCGCACAACCUGGAUUUUCAACACUGCGCCAAAAGGCUGCAAAAAGAUGACUCAUACAAAUCACUGAUUUGAACCCACAUGUGACGAUAAAGUUACUGCAGCUUAUCAUCAACUCUGUCACCUCUACUGGGCGUGUCAUUAAUGCCACUAUAAAAUGAAGACCUUAAAAGAACUUUCAUCUUGACUUUAGUGCCUAUGACAAAAAAAAAUGUUUUUUGAGAUGUAUUUGCAUUCACUUUUUUAAAAAGGUGAUGUAGUUGUUAGAGAACAUGCUCUGCAGUGGGUAAACAAUCUUCUUUACUGUGUGUAUGUGUAUAUACACUGAUAACAUGUUGUUAGCACUGCAAUCUGUUCUUAUGACAAUUCCUUCACUGCAAAAGACACACAUGAUUGAGAUAAUGGGUUCCUGCAGUGAAGCAGGAAUAGUUGCAUAUUAUUUUUUCUCUUUCCUAUAUAAGUUAAAACUUAAAAUCUUAAUUGUUGUUGCAAAACACUUAAUUCAUAGCUAUUUUUAUUCCUGUUGUUUUUGGCCCAUAUUCCCAUACCCAAAAAGUCGCACAACACUUAUUGCGUCACAAAAUGCACCGCAGUGGAGCUGUGGGUUUGGCUCCAGGUGACUUCAGCAGGUUACCCAAGGCACUGCCUCGACACUCCUUGUUGUUUUUUUUUAUCAGAGUUUGUUUCAGCUACCACCGCCUCCCAACCUCACCUCCGCACACAAACAGUCCAGCUACACUGAAGAGCAAACCCUGAUAGUACCAUGUUCAAAGGCCACUUCCUCCCACUCAUCUGUGGAAAUGCCCGUUUGACGGUAGAGUGAGAUGGGAAGUUUCGUUUGAGAGUUUUUCUCAAAAAAUCCUAAAAUAACUU